This 440-nucleotide ribosomal RNA is filed under the name uncultured bacterium. Its description in RNAcentral is "partial 16S ribosomal RNA". It matches the Rfam family "Bacterial small subunit ribosomal RNA", at positions 338 to 795 of the family's 1533-position model. The record is from RNAcentral.
CCUACGGGUGGCAGCAGUAGGGAAUAUUGCUCAAUGGGGGAAACCCUGAAGCAGCAACGCCGCGUGGAGGAUGAAGGUUUUCGGAUUGUAAACUUCUUUUGUUAGAGAAGAUAAUGACGGUAUCUAACGAAUAAGCAAAGGCUAACUCCGUGACAGCAGCCGCGGUAAUACGGAGGGUGCAAGCGUUACUCGGAAUCACUGGGCGUAAAGAGCACGUAGGCGGGAUAGCAAGUCAGAUGUGAAAUCCUAUGGCUUAACCUUAGAACUGCAUUUGAAACUGUUAUUCUAGAGUAUGGUAGAGGUAGGUGGAAUUCUUGGUGUAGGGGUAAAAUGCGUAGAGAUCAAGAGGAAUACUGAUUGCGAAGGCGACCUGCUAGGACAUAACUGACGCUGAUGCGCGAAAGCGUGGGGAGCAAACAGGAUUAGAUACCCGAGUAGUC